GACGAACGCUGGCGGCGCGCCUAACACAUGCAAGUCGAACGAGAGAGAAGGAGCUUGCUUCUUCGAUCGAGUGGCGAACGGGUGAGUAACGCGUGAGGAACCUGCCUCAAAGAGGGGGACAACAGUUGGAAACGACUGCUAAUACCGCAUAAGCCCACGGGUCGGCAUCGACCAGAGGGAAAAGGAGCAAUCCGCUUUGAGAUGGCCUCGCGUCCGAUUAGCUAGUUGGUGAGGUAAUGGCCCACCAAGGCGACGAUCGGUAGCCGGACUGAGAGGUUGAACGGCCACAUUGGGACUGAGACACGGCCCAGACUCCUACGGGAGGCAGCAGUGGGGAAUAUUGCACAAUGGGGGAAACCCUGAUGCAGCGACGCCGCGUGGAGGAAGAAGGUCUUCGGAUUGUAAACUCCUGUUGUUGAGGAAGAUAAUGACGGUACUC
RNAcentral lists this ribosomal RNA (439 nucleotides) under uncultured bacterium. RNAcentral's name for it is "bacterial SSU rRNA". It matches the Rfam family "Bacterial small subunit ribosomal RNA", at positions 28 to 480 of the family's 1533-position model. The record is from RNAcentral.